RNAcentral lists this long non-coding RNA (1724 nucleotides) under Lynx canadensis (Canada lynx). Its description in RNAcentral is "lncRNA (ENSLCNG00005002922.1)". The record is from RNAcentral. Lineage: Eukaryota; Metazoa; Chordata; Mammalia; Carnivora; Felidae.
CCGGAGCGCACAGGCGAAGCGGUGGGGGCGCUUUCCCAGGACCUGGUGUUUCAGGUGCCGCAGCCCCUGCAAGGGGCGCCUGAGGAGUCCCGCUUCGUCUCGCUUCCGACGGCCCUCGCUGAAACGCCUGCUCCCGGGCUUAAGAUUUGGGCUGGAGCAGGCACUGCGGCUGGAAACCCGAGGCUCAGUGGGAGGUCCCGUAUUGUGCAAAGUCCCUGAGCGCCUGCCUGGAGGAAGAGGGCAUCCAGUGGCUCUGCAAACACCUGAAGAACGUGCAGGUGUGCUCUCGUUCUCCCGAGAUCAGUUACAGGAAUCCCGGCCUCUGGCGAGGCUCCCUGGAGAGUCCUUGGAGUCGUACGUUUAUCCCUUCAGUUCUCAUCACGUUUGUUUGGACACAGAACUCAUUCCCCUUAACCUGAGGUGGCCUCCGUUUGUGCCACAGCCGUCAUCCGUCUCAGACAACCCUCGGGGCCUCACACCGUCUCCCUCAGACUGAGACGAGGUACGGAGGGGUUCGUGGGGAAGGAAAUCUCUUCUCAGACCAGGGAAUAAGCAUGACCAGGGUUCCAGCCUGGAAAGAAUUAUAAACCAUCUCCUCUUCCUCUCUCAGAGCCCUCUUCCUAACUCCUUCUGAUCAUCAUAGACAUAAAUGCUGGCCUUCUCUUCCUCGGUGCUCUGCUUGUUAGGGUGUAACUUGAAUAAUACAGAUGAAAAAACUUAAGGAAAAGAGAGGAUACCAGGUCUCUUCCGCUUGACUUAUGCAUUUCCCACACUCAUAGGUGAGGUUCACGCUAUCCGGCCACUCUUAGGCCAGGGCGACUCACAGAUGUGCUACAGAGGGUGGAAGGCCGUGUGCCUUUCAGCAAGGCAAGCCAGCCUGGCAGGCAGAGGGGGUGGCCAACAAGCCACACUUGCUAGUGAGUUCCUGCUGCUGCUUGGAUCGGAGGAGGUGAGGCAAGAGGCUAGUGAAAACUCAUCCUGAUGGUCAGUCUGACAAGCAGUCAAGAUGGAGAACUGCAAAAAUCAGCAGUACUGGUCUUCUGGGAGUCCCAGUGCCCAAUGACAGGCUCCACCAGGGAUGGCCAGCCCCUGUGGGCUGAGCUCCGCAUGCCUGGUCUGCAUUCCCAUCUCUCCUACUUCUUCACACAAGCUGGGGAAGCUGAAUGACCAAAAGGGCACCCAGGCGCCUGACUUGAUCAAAAACAAACAAAACUCUAAGUGAGCAUGUACAAGUGUGUAAAUUGGUGCUACACGGUGGCGUGAUUGGGUAAUCAAAAGGGAUAUCCACCCCAGGCAUAUAUGAGGGGGAAUUUUGGAGUCAGAGAAACUUGGUGUGGUCCCCAGAUGCAGAGUUCAUUAGAGGCAAGCCACUGCUUCAGGACAGAUUUCUGGAGAGCAGUUGUCUGAGGCCAGGCCCUUACCCCUCUUUUCCUGCGUUGUUACCUGAUUCUACCUUUGAUCUGGCAUUUAAUGUUUAUACCACUUCAGGAAUAAGACCAAUAGUUUGCUCUAUAAUCUCAUAACCCCCACUUCCCCACUGGCCUCACACAGGUUAUUUUCUCUUCACAGGUAUUGAAAGAAGGUAGUAGCCUGAUCUUCAAGUAAAUAAGGGGGAGGGAUGAAAACUGUGAGGGAAGGGGAAAAGUGGGUCUUUGCUGUGAAAAGUGGGUCUUUGCUAUGAAAAAUUAAAGAACCUACUUAACAGAAGGGAGCUUUGGGGCCUG